This is a long non-coding RNA of Acanthochromis polyacanthus (spiny chromis), 2529 nucleotides long. RefSeq lists it as uncharacterized. The record is from RefSeq and is a predicted model, not a curated record. The transcript is spliced from 4 exons. Lineage: Eukaryota; Metazoa; Chordata; Actinopteri; Pomacentridae.
CUCGAUCGUCACGUGAUUGUGGGCGUGCUGAAGCAGGGAUCGAAACACCGUCUCGGAACACUUUCGCUUCAAAAGCUCGGCACUGUGUCGAGGAAACUGGAUCGACCCGUCAUUAUGUUCUGGCAGAAGGACCGGCAGAGUGGAGCGGUGAUUCGCAAGAAGGCAAAACAGCAGGUGGAGUGAUCAAAGACACACGACAAUACCUGUAAAUGUGCUGGUAAAUAUUUUCUGCAUACUCCAGACCAAACCCCUCCUCUGAUACCAGGGAUUCAUUUGGUUCAGACUGCAUGGAAACAUCCUGGCAUGAACCUACAGAAGCAAACACCAGACGCAGCAAGAACCACUUCACAAGCCUCUUCGACGUACACAUCGUAGCUGGAACUGGAUGGACAGCCAAGAAAGUUGAGCUGGGAGCUGUCUGACACUGAACUGCGUUUGGAUAAUUGGCUUCCCUGAGGAGGAAAAUGAGUUGACAUGAUCGUCACAUCAGGCUGGAAUGUAAAUGUAAAACCUGUGAACUAUCAUGCUCUCCACGGUGCCUCUCAUGCCUACCUGACUGACGGAUCGACUACGAUGCUCAUUUUCCGACAAGACGCCGAGCACUGUGCGUUGUUUGGUUCUCUGGACCUGCAGUGCAUCUGCUUUGGUUGAAGAUGUGACAUUUUCUUUGCCAGUGUGACCACCACGACUGGCAGCUCUGCAGAAGUUCAUCUUUAAACAGGGAGAUGAGAAAAGAGAGUAAAAAAGAAGUGCCAGGAAGACAUGAAACACAGUGAGAAGAAUUAUUGUUUAACAUUGAGCUGCCUCAGUUAAGUAAAAUAUAUUGUGUUGCCUUUGUCAGUUCUCUGUAUGUACAGAGUGCCUGUCUGUUGGUAUCUGAAACAGAGUUGCAAGAUGAAUCUGGCAGGUUGCAGGACAAGGAUAGCAAAUUAGGAAUCAAUUGUGCAUAUUUUUCCAAUAUAAAAAAAAAAAAAAAUAGGAUUUUCUUUUAGAUCAAAAACACUUAAAACAAUAAAGGAUAAGUUAACUUACAUUCAUAUGGACUGGGAAGUAUUAUUCAAUAACAGCAAUGUAUGACAAAUUGUAAUCUACUCAAUAUACUUUAGAAACCAAAGAAUAAUAAAUUAACUUGGUGUAAGGGUAUAACUGUAUGCAGCAUCAGAUUUUAUAGUUUUAAACCAGAUUUUGAAAAAACAAUAUUCACAGUUUGCCAUAGUGUAAUAAAUAUAAACAGUCUGACACAAAAAAGAUACAUGCAACACUUUAAUUUCUUUACUUACAAGGGUCACGCAAGAAAUACAGAUGGGAACCGCAGCAACAGCUUAAUGUGACAUACUCUCAUGAGAUACUGUAUGUGAUACUAGUGAGUUUAUGGUUGUCCUGACCACAUUACAGCAGCUAGAUAAGGCUGCAGUAACAACUGAGGAGGAUAGAAGCAGAGUGGUCUAACUCACAGAAAAUCCAAACUAAGUUUUAUAUAAUUUCUGUAAUAUUUUAUGGUCUAGAUUUCAGUGGCAAAGUGGUCGAACCCACAACCCAAAUAUAGCAUUACAGUGGCGAUUUAAAUAUUAGACCAUUCUUGAAAACACUAAAUUUUGAACCAGUUUUACUCAGAAACUACAGACCACUCUACUUCUAAACCCUUCAAUUACAGUUAUUGUUUGCCGUUUUUUUAUUAAUUCAUGAUUUUGUCUAUAAAAUACUGAAAAAUGUGACUUAUUCAUAUUACAUGUUUACUUUUUUUAAAGCCCUGAAAAAGUUUACAGCAGUUUGAAAUACACCAUGGCUGUGGAGGGAAUGCACUUUUUUUUCCAAUUUUUGUGGUCUGAGAAUGCACAUAUUCUAUCUAUUAAGCAUCUAAUUUGGCUUUUCUUUGUGAUUAUUCCAGUUAGCGCUAUCAUUUGCCGUAGGAGAAGCCUCCAGCUCUGUUGCUCCUCAGAGUUGAUUCACUUGAAUUUUUUGCUGAAUCCAAAAUUUCUAAAUAAGAUGCCUCGUCUUCUUUUUGACAUAUCUGUAUGUUGACUACACAAUACCACACAGACUGAGGGUUAGUGUUUGCUCUUCAUCUAUUUCAUUCUGAUUUAGGUUUAUGGCAGCUGGCAUUAAGAAAGUUUUUUUUUUCAAAUCUUUGAGUGAAGCUUGUGAUAUGGUGCCACCAUACUUCAUGAUUACAGGCAUAAUCUAUGAUUAUCAAGAUUUCAAAGAUGCUCAAAAUGACACAGAUCCUGUCUUUAGGAGAGCUCAUGUCUCCUCUGCAGUUUGUUCACUAUGGUAUAAAGGACAGCAUCAAAUCAUCUUAUCCAAAAGACUCUGGCCAGUGAAAUUGAUUUGCAAAUCUGCCUGAAAAAGACAAGACAUUUGACUUUUUACUGAUUGAUGAAUUCAGGUCUGUGAGGAAAAGUACAAAAACAGAAAUGUCCAUUUUUACUAACUGCUCUCACAACAUCAAAAGAAAAGCUGCGUGGGAAAUCAGUUGCACUAAAAGUUUAAGAAUGGUAAUAAGGUCUUGCAUUAAACAUGUAAGCAUCA